Non-coding RNA from Cordylochernes scorpioides, 73 nucleotides. The record is from the annotation of a GenBank genome assembly. Lineage: Eukaryota; Metazoa; Arthropoda; Arachnida; Pseudoscorpiones; Chernetidae.
GUCCAGGGAUGGGAAUCGAACCCACAUUGUUCCGCUUACCGGGCAGAUGCCAUGUCCACUAAGCUACCCUGGA